UGGGGAAUAUUGCACAAUGGGCGCAAGCCUGAUGCAGCCAUGCCGCGUGUAUGAAGAAGGCCUUCGGGUUGUAAAGUACUUUCAGCGGGGAGGAAGGGAGUAAAGUUAAUACCUUUGCUCAUUGACGUUACCCGCAGAAGAAGCACCGGCUAACUCCGUGCCAGCAGCCGCGGUAAUACGGAGGGUGCAAGCGUUAAUCGGAAUUACUGGGCGUAAAGCGCACGCAGGCGGUUUGUUAAGUCAGAUGUGAAAUCCCCGGGCUCAACCUGGGAGCUGCAUCUGAUACUGGCAAGCUUGAGUCUCGUAGAGGGGGGUAGAAUUCCAGGUGUAGCGGUGAAAUGCGUAGAGAUCUGGAGGAAUACCGGUGGCGAAGGCGGCCCCCUGGACGAAGACUGACGCUCAGGUGCGAAAGCGUGGGGAGCAAACAGGAUUAGAUAUCCUGGUAGUCCACGCCGUAAACGAUGUCGACUUGGAGGUUGUGCCCUUGAGGCGUGGCUUCCGGAGCUAACGCGUUAAGUCGACCGCCUGGGGAGUACGGCCGCAAGGUUA
RNAcentral lists this ribosomal RNA (549 nucleotides) under uncultured bacterium. Its description in RNAcentral is "bacterial SSU rRNA". It matches the Rfam family "Bacterial small subunit ribosomal RNA", at positions 355 to 896 of the family's 1533-position model. The record is from RNAcentral.